AUAAUCGUCGGAAACGGCGUCUAAUACCCCGUAUGAAGCUGGACGGCAUCGUCUGGUUUUGAAAGAAUAUCGGAGACGGAUGGGCAUGCGGCGCAUUAGCUAGUUGGCGGGGUAACGGCCCACCAAGGCGACGAUGCGUAGGGGUUCUGAGAGGAAGGUCCCCCACACUGGUACUGAGACACGGACCAGACUCCUACGGAAGGCAGCAG
RNAcentral lists this ribosomal RNA (209 nucleotides) under uncultured bacterium. Its description in RNAcentral is "partial 16S ribosomal RNA". It matches the Rfam family "Bacterial small subunit ribosomal RNA", at positions 143 to 354 of the family's 1533-position model. The record is from RNAcentral.